AUUGACCUCGGAUCAGGUAGGGAUACCCGCUGAACUUAAGCAUAUCAAUAAGCGGAGGAAAAGAAACCAACUGGGAUUGCCUCAGUAACGGCGAGUGAAGCGGCAACAGCUCAAAUUUGAAAUCUGACCCCCUCGGGGGCCCGAGUUGUAAUUUGAAGAGGGUGUUUCGGGCGAGGGGCCGGCCUAAGUCCCUUGGAACAGGGCGUCAUAGAGGGUGAGAAUCCCGUAUGCGGCCGGUGACCGGACCCAUGUGAAACCCCUUCGACGAGUCGAGUUGUUUGGGAAUGCAGCUCUAAAUGGGUGGUAUAUUUCAUCUAAAGCUAAAUACCGGCCAGAGACCGAUAGCGCACAAGUAGAGUGAUCGAAAGAUGAAAAGCACUUUGGAAAGAGAGUUAAAAAGUACGUGAAAUUGUUGAAAGGGAAGCGCUUGCGACCAGACCUGUCGUCGGGUGAUCAGCCGUCGUUCUCGGCGGUGCACUCGCCCGUGCGCAGGCCAGCAUCGGUUCGGGAGGUUGGAUAAAGGCCCCGGGAAUGUAGCUUCCUUCGGGGAGUCUUAUAGCCCGGGGUGCAAUGCGGCCAGCCCGGACCGAGGACCGCGCUUCGGCAAGGAUGCUGGCGUAAUGGUCGUAAGCGGCCCGUCUUGAAACACGGACCAAGGAGUCUAACAUCUAUGCGAGUGUUUGGGUGUCAAACCCGUGCGCGGAAUGAAAGUGAACGGAGGUGGGAACCCCUCGAGGGCGCACCAUCGACCGAUCCAGAUGUUUUCGGACGGAUUUGAGUAAGAGCAUAGCUGUUGGGACCCGAAAGAUGAUGAACUAUACUUGAAUAGGGUGAAGCCAGAGGAAACUCUGGUGGAGGCUCGCAGCGGUUCUGACGUGCAAAUCGAUCGUCAAAUUUGAGUAUAGGGGCGAAAGACUAAUCGAAUC
This 926-nucleotide ribosomal RNA is filed under the name Calicium viride. RNAcentral's name for it is "LSU rRNA". It matches the Rfam family "Eukaryotic large subunit ribosomal RNA", at positions 1 to 941 of the family's 3401-position model. The record is from RNAcentral. Lineage: Eukaryota; Fungi; Ascomycota; Lecanoromycetes; Caliciales; Caliciaceae.